RNAcentral lists this ribosomal RNA (301 nucleotides) under uncultured bacterium. RNAcentral describes it as "partial 16S ribosomal RNA". It matches the Rfam family "Bacterial small subunit ribosomal RNA", at positions 509 to 809 of the family's 1533-position model. The record is from RNAcentral.
CAGCCGCCGCGGGAAUACGGAGGGGGCUAGCGUUGUUCGGAAUUACUGGGCGUAAAGCGCACGUAGGCGGCUUGGUAAGUUAGAGGUGAAAGCCCGGAGCUCAACUCCGGAAUUGCCUUUAAGACUGCCGAGCUAGUAGGUGAGAGAGGUAAGUGGAAUUCCGAGUGUAGAGGUGAAAUUCGUAGAUAUUCGGAAGAACACCAGUGGCGAAGGCGGCUUACUGGCUCAUUCUAGACGCUGAGGCACGAAAGCGUGGGGAGCAAACAGGAUUAGAUACCCGAGUAGUCCCUGUCUCUUAUAA